Molecule: ribosomal RNA, 253 nt
Filed under: uncultured bacterium
Lineage: Bacteria
Description: partial 16S ribosomal RNA
Rfam family: Bacterial small subunit ribosomal RNA
Source: RNAcentral
UACGGAGGGAGCUAGCGUUGUUCGGAUAUACUGGGCGUAAAGCGCACGUAGGCGGCGCAGCAAGUCAGGGGUGAAAUCCCGGAGCUCAACUCCGGAACUGCCUUUGAGACUGCAGUGCUAGAAUCCUGGAGAGGCGAGUGGAAUUCCGAGUGUAGAGGUGAAAUUCGUAGAUAUUCGGAAGAACACCAGUGGCGAAGGCGACUCGCUGGACAGGUAUUGACGCUGAGGUGCGAAAGCGUGGGGAGCAAACAGG